AUUGAACGCUGGCGGCAUGCCUUACACAUGCAAGUCGAACGGCAGCGGGCCUUUGGGUGCCGGCGAGUGGCGAACGGGUGAGUAAUGCAUCGGAACGUGCCAUUGAGUGGGGGAUAACGUAGCGAAAGUUGCGCUAAUACCGCAUAUUCUGUGAGCAGGAAAGCAGGGGACCGCAAGGCCUUGCGCUCUUUGAGCGGCCGAUGUCAGAUUAGCUAGUUGGUGAGGUAAAGGUUUACCAAGGCGACGAUCUGUAGCGGGUCUGAGAGGAUGAUCCGCCACACUGGAACUGAGACACGGUCCAGACUCCUACGGGAGGCAGCAGUGGGGAAUUUUGGACAAUGGGGGCAACCCUGAUCCAGCCAUGCCGCGUGAGUGAAGAAGGCCUUCGGGUUGUAAAGCUCUUUCGGCCGGGAAGAAAUCGCAUGGGUGAAUACCCUGUGUGGAUGACGGUACCGGAACAAGAAGCACCGGCUAACUACGUG
Molecule: ribosomal RNA, 482 nt
Filed under: uncultured bacterium
Lineage: Bacteria
Description: bacterial SSU rRNA
Rfam family: Bacterial small subunit ribosomal RNA
Source: RNAcentral